This is a long non-coding RNA of Coregonus clupeaformis (lake whitefish), 1331 nucleotides long. RefSeq lists it as uncharacterized. The record is from RefSeq and is a predicted model, not a curated record. The transcript has 3 exons. Lineage: Eukaryota; Metazoa; Chordata; Actinopteri; Salmoniformes; Salmonidae.
GCAGGAGCAACUCAAUGCCCAGAAAGCCGAACUGCAGCAGGCCGUGGAACACAUGCAGAUAAUAAAAUCUGAAAAAGCAAAUGUGGCCGUUGGGGUCAAAGAUGAUGUGCUUUAGAUGGAGGAGCUACAGUAGCAGUGCCCCCUGGUGGUCAAGCGUUGCCAGUACUACCAGGAGACAGCCAACCUCUACCCCCUGGUCACCAGCAAGACUUACCUGCACACUCUUAGCAGGCCCGGCAGCUUUUUCUGUGUGUGUGAAUCUCUGUGUGUGUGUUUGCGCAUGUGUGUGUGCGCUCAUGUGUGUUUGCGUGUGCAUAUGUGUGUAAAUUAAUUUAGCAAUUAAUCAGUUUCAGUUAGCUUUAAUGUGUUGUUGGAGCUCUAUGGUCCCACAAUAUACUCGGACGCACACAUACAGUCCAACAAUUUCCCAAGACCAGCUAAACCAAUCAGAAUGAAGCCUUGGAUUUUGACCCACUACCAGUCGUGGCAUUCCGGAGCUGGCAGGAACAGCCAGCACAACCAACGAGACUUGAAAUAAUUGCUGAACCAGGCAUUUUGUGGACAAUCCACUCUUUGUUAUUAGUUAUUUUCCCUCUUGACACAACCAGAACAUGGUUCGAUAUGGGAAGUAAUUUGGGACCAGUGGGAAGAGUUUUUGUUACUGAAUAUUUGCAAUGUUUUGUUUUCUACCUAGUUAGGUAGGCUACCCAGUGGGAUUGUUUCUCUGGAGAAAGAUUUGUUUAAAAUACAAAAUACAUUUGGUUAAAUAGUUUACGGAGGUGGGUCAAAUUAAUGUCAAUUUUGAUAUGCUACUUGAUAGUAUGCUGUCAUGAUAAAUAAUGUAUAACUUACCUGGAGAUGGUUUACUGUUAUAGCCUUGCUGAUUCAUUCCUGAUAUUAAUAAUUGCCCAUACACAGAUAAAACCUAUUGGCUUCACAUCAUAGACAAUGAAGGCAUAAUUAGUUCUUAGUAUUUUAUUUUAUUUUUAUUGGACUUUGUUAGUUAAGAUACAGUAUGGAAAUUAUGAAGAUACUAAAGUAAUUCAAUAUUGGCCAAAAUAAUGUUUACAUGCCACAAACUGCCAUUUGUUUUCGUGUAACAAAAAUGCCCCAUUGAUGUGGACUUAGAAUGUUGUAAAUGUUUUCAUUGUGGUUGAUAGGGACAAUAGUGAUAAUUAGUAGGAGUCUUGAAUGUUAUUUUUGGUGUUUCAUUUAUCUUAAUUUCCAGUGUCUGUUUUACUGUAUUUGUGUGUGAGAGUAUGUAUGAUGAUCACAGUUUAGGACCAACAUCUAUUGUGGGGAUAAUAAUAAUAAAUAAUAAUAAUCAUACA